CUGAGGAGAGGGCAGAACGGGGAAACCAACCUCUGGUAAUGAAAAACUUUACAGUGAAAAUCGGGACGAGUGGAACGCGGCGGAUGGAGAAAAAGGUUUAAACCCCGUUGAAAACUUGCAAAAAGGUUUUGUUUUGUUUUUCCUACAGACAGCAAAGGUUCUCGGUUAAAAACACAACUUGGAAAACAAGACACCGACCAGCUUCUUAAAGGAAACUAAAGAGCCCACGGAACGCGAAGCUGCGAGUUCCCAGGUCCCGGGGGGACCGCGGGGGGAACGCGGGUCCAGCAACGGCACCGGACACGGAAACCACACAGAAAUUACACACAGAGCCCCACGGCUGCCCGCUCUGCGCGCCCGCUGCUGCACGGCCCCGCGCGGAGUUCGUGUCUCUGCGGCCGUCCGCUGGCAAUUGCAUAAUAAAUUACAUUCACGGGAAUUCUGCAUUGGAAAUAAAUGACAGAUUCUGCAGAAAUAAUUAGGGUUUUAUUGUUAAAAUGUCUUUAGGAAAGACAAAACAAUUUAAGCUGGACUCCUCUCCUGUUGAGGGACUGUUUGUUCCCAGUCUUGCACCUGAUUGAAUCGCACUGAUUUUAAACCCUAAUUGACAGCAAUGUUGUCACCAGCAUGUGUUCACUCCCCGGGAUCAAAUACUAUUGAGUUUUGACCUCAGAUAGUACAGUGAGGCUCACUUGUCAUGUUUACUCUCAUUUCUAGAUUUACAGUGAUGCGGCAGAAGAAGAAACGGUGGGUUUGGAGCAACAGUGUGAGUUCAGUUUUGAGUCCCCUCUGUCACCGGCCUGACCCCGCGGCCCUGGCGGCACAGCUGGCGCUUGUUUGACAAGACUGUUUGCUGGCGAUAAGCCGAGUUAUUGGGCUAUUUUUUCCUUUGAAAAAAAUGCAGAUCUCAUUAAUUCUGGAGGAUAAAAGCAUCAUAUGCAGAGAAGAAAUGGUGCCGGUGAAUCCAUGCGAUUCCCCGGACACGAGAAGAUAAAACGGCAGCGUGGGUGCAGGUGAGCGGCCGCUUUUUGUGUAAAAUAACAGGUGGACGGUUUGCCACUUUUUGUGGAGUCCAAGGGGAGAGACACGAGCGAAGAUCAGGGCAAAACCCCAACCAGCCCCGGUUUCCAGCGCCGAGGCUGCCCCGAGCUGGGCGGGGGGCGGGAACGCGCCUGUUCUCUGUGUAAUUUCUUUGGGCGGUGAAGCACGCGGGACGGCUGGAGCGCACACCCAGCAACUACAGCUACAAUUAUUUAGUUUCCCUUGAAGAAAUAAGUGAAUAACAGCUCUGGAAAUCAUAAGGCUGAGAACAUCUUUAUGCAUACUGCAUAACAAAAUAAACCCUUUACAUAAGACAGUAAUAAUGCCCAUUAAUGAAUAUACGUAUGGCAGAGAUUUUAAUUCCAUGCAUAUGAUUUAAUAAUCACAGAAAAAAAAAAAAACAUACAAAGAAAAAAAUAAAAAAUAAAACCUGCUUAAGCAUAAUGAAAAUUCCUUUUGCAUUGCACUUGAGGAGAUGGGCACGAGCCGGGCGGCCCGGACCCUGCCUGCGCAACUGGUUCUUGCUCCCAACACUUGGACAUUGUCCCAGUAAUUCUACUCCUUUCGUAUUUAUUCUUGGUUUUUUUGUACCUAAAACAUAUAUAUGAACUUCUCCGUUAAUGCUCACAGUUAUUAUAAUGGCUAUUAUAAUGGUUUCAAGCAAACAGCUCUUGUUUAAAAAAACAAAACAACUCUCUAAUGUACUGUAAGUAAAUACGAUAAUUUUGGGAUUGGAAGCCGCUUUCUCUCUACUGGGAAGUAAUUUUUAAUCUUACAUAGUUUGCAUUAAUGUCCAAAAGCAAAUGAAGAUGACUGGAAAUGCGUUUCUUUGUUGAGAAUAACUUGUGUGUGAUGAUGCAUACGUGGGGUGGUUGAUUUUGUUUCCCCUUUUGUUCUUUAAAGUGUCAGCGUUGCCUAUAGAAGCUGCUGAGAGGAAAACUGAGCUGGAAGGCACAUCUGCAGCCCCAGGUCCCGUCUUCACUUGCCGCUGAUGAGCCCGAGCGUGUCAGAGGGGAGAGUUCACGGGGGAGAAUCGCUUUCUCUGGUCAGUGAGGCACCGGCUUUCUGCGUCAAGCGCUGGGGAGCGUCUGUGCCCCCCGGCAGCCGCGUUCCUCCCGCUGCGCUGACGGAGGUGACGGGGACGGGGGGCGCGGGCCGGGACCGGGCGAUGCUGCUCACGUCCGUCACGCAGCGCCGAGCCCAGAACGCUCCACGUGUAAACUUGGAAACAUGGAAUCAAACGCAGACCUCCAACAACGCGACGUUGCGCUCUCCUCGGGCACGGAGAUCCCGACCGCCGGUUCAUCACACAAGCAGUGCUCUUGGCUGGAGUGAGUCUCUUGAACGCACCAAUUCAUGGAGACGGCUCUAGAAAAGGUGGCGAUUCGCAAACCCUGAAUCUGUAAGGCCGGGUUUAUCUUCCCAAAGCAUCGAUCCUCCCCUCCCCCCCGCGCGGUCCCACAUCUUCCCUUCUCCUCCGAUUGGGACGGAAAUGACGACAAUUCUCCCGAGGACAAAAUCAACUUUGAAAAGCACUCAAUCCUCAUCCAGCCCCGUGACGGGAUGAAAACUGCGCGGGCUUCCUCGACGGCUGCAAAACUGCUCACGAAAUGGCAUCAUCACCAGAGGGUUCUGUGUCGAGAAUCCCAAAGCCUAUAACAAGUCAUUAAAAAUUGUGCAUCGAAGGGUUUUUUUGU
This 2738-nucleotide long non-coding RNA is filed under the name Columba livia (rock pigeon). RNAcentral's name for it is "partial uncharacterized LOC102088658, transcript variant X5". Lineage: Eukaryota; Metazoa; Chordata; Aves; Columbiformes; Columbidae. The record is from RNAcentral.